Molecule: transfer RNA, 88 nt
Filed under: Clostridiales bacterium
Lineage: Bacteria; Bacillati; Bacillota; Clostridia; Eubacteriales
Description: tRNA-Leu
Rfam family: tRNA
About the family: Transfer RNA (tRNA) molecules are approximately 80 nucleotides in length. Their secondary structure includes four short double-helical elements and three loops (D, anti-codon, and T loops).
Source: RNAcentral
GCCGGAGUGGCGGAAUAGGCAGACGCCAGGGACUUAAAAUCCCUUGACCCUAAAGGUCGUAUCGGUUCGAGCCCGAUCUUCGGCACCA